This 1256-nucleotide long non-coding RNA is filed under the name Homo sapiens (human). Its description in RNAcentral is "HSALNT0166849". Lineage: Eukaryota; Metazoa; Chordata; Mammalia; Primates; Hominidae. The record is from RNAcentral.
GAGAUACUCUGGGAGGGAGGCCAGAGUGAUGAGCCUUUGUGGGAGGGCUUUGGGCGACCAGAAAGUGAUAUGAUGGAUAUGGAGCAGAAGAGGGGGCACAAAGAGGCAGGUAGCUAUGCUGAGACCCAUACUGAUUGCAACUGCCCCUGGGGUUUUUAGAGAUCCUGCUGAUCACCAGCCAGUGUAUCAGACCAUGUGCCCUGAUUUUUAAUUAAGAAAAUACAGCCCCUUGGUUUACCUAGCAAGUUAACACCUUCUCCGCCAUAUAGAGGCAGAAGCAUGUUGAUCCUGGCGGUUCAGCCAUUGGGAUACUCGUUUCAUCUGUCCGAGAUUGAGACCCAAUAUCCUCAAGCAGAAAAUAGGGAGAGUCAUCUUACACUCCUCAUAGGUGAUAUGCUUAAUCAUUCAGUGUCCUGUGGGGUCAGCCUACAACGCAAGUUCUACUGCUCAUUACUUACAUCAAGGGCAGCUUUCACCCCCGAGCUGCCUAACUGGGAGCCAGAAGAUAGUGUUGAAAUAAACCAGGAAAUCCGACAACCCAGCUGACAUCUCUCUUUCCCAGUCACUGUGUGGAUCAAAGUCAUGCUCCAUAGAAGGCAAAAUAGAGACUAUGCUAGCAGGGCUGCUAUGAAGAAGUGAUGCCACUGUGCUCAGUUCAGUGCCUGACUGAGAGAAGGAACUCGAUAAACUUUAGCCUCCUUUCCUCCAGACCUUCCUCCUGCUUCUACUCCCAAAUAAAGGGCUAGAGCAUCAGAACUGCAGGGAAUGUGAAAGAUCAUCCAGCUCAGUUUUAUCUUUCCAGAUUAAGUAGGGACAUACAGUGGGAAAGUGGCGGCCCAGAUGAGAGGCCAGGUUGCCCAGUUCCUCACCCGGUGGUCACCCUGGCACCACUCUGCCACCACAUCACAGUCAUGGCACUGUCAGCUCAGAGCUAAAUUCUCCUGGCAUUAUUUAACUGGGAUUGUGGCUGUCUUCAUUCUCUGAAAUUACGUCAACUAAGCUUUAAUGACCAUUAGCUACUGUGGUUUUUCCUUUCUGAGGCCGCUCAUGUCUUUGGCUAGGAACUCAUCUCUGUAAGCAUUUGUACUCUGCUCCUGUUUUCAGCAGAUCUUAAAUAUUGUGCCUGGGUCUGAGCUUCUCCUUACAAGUGCAGGAUUCUAAAUUCAAAUUCACGAGCCAGUGUCUGUUUUCUGGAGCACAUCCAAGUGUGGGUGAGUGAGAACGGGCAGUUUAUAAUCCUGAGAUGCUAAUCUACC